UACGUAGGGGGCAAGCGUUGUCCGGAUUCAUUGGGCGUAAAGGGUGCGUAGGUGGCGCUGUAAGUCGGGUGUGAAAUUUCGGAGCUUAACUCCGAAACUGCAUUCGAUACUGCGGUGCUUGAGGACUGGAGAGGAGACUGGAAUUUAUGCUGUAGCAGUGAAAUGCGUAGAGAUCAUAAGGAAGACCAGUGGCGAAGGCGGGUCUCUGGACAGUUCCUGACACUGAGGCACGAAGGCCAGGGGAGCAAACGGG
This 253-nucleotide ribosomal RNA is filed under the name uncultured bacterium. Its description in RNAcentral is "partial 16S ribosomal RNA". It matches the Rfam family "Bacterial small subunit ribosomal RNA", at positions 524 to 776 of the family's 1533-position model. The record is from RNAcentral.